This 440-nucleotide ribosomal RNA is filed under the name uncultured bacterium. RNAcentral describes it as "partial 16S ribosomal RNA". It matches the Rfam family "Bacterial small subunit ribosomal RNA", at positions 338 to 795 of the family's 1533-position model. The record is from RNAcentral.
CCUACGGGUGACAGCAGUGGGGGAUAUUGCACAAUGGGGGAAACCCUGAUGCAGCAACGCCGCGUGUGGGAAGAAGGUUUUCGGAUUGUAAACCACUGUUCUUGGUGAAGAUAAUGACGGUAACCAAGGAGAAAGCUCCGGCUAACUACGUGCCAGCAGCCGCGGUAAUACGUAGGGAGCAAGCGUUGUCCGGAUUUACUGGGUGUAAAGGGUGCGUAGGCGGUCUUGCAAGUCAGACGUGAAAACCACAGGCUCAACCUGUGGACUGCGUUUGAAACUGUGGGGCUUGAGUGAAGUAGAGGUAGGCGGAAUUCCUAGUGUAGCGGUGAAAUGCGUAGAUAUUAGGAGGAACACCAGUGGCGAAGGCGGCUUACUGGACUGUAAAUGACGCUGAGGCUCGAAAGCGUGGGGAGCAAACAGGAUUAUAUACCCUUGUAGUC